AGUGAACGCUGGCGGUAGGCCUAACACAUGCAAGUCGAACGGCAGCACAGGAGAGCUUGCUCUCUGGGUGGCGAGUGGCGGACGGGUGAGGAAUACAUCGGAAUCUACUCUGUCGUGGGGGACAACGUAGGGAAACUUACGCUAAUACCGCAUACGACCUACGGGUGAAAGCAGGGGACCUUCGGGCCUUGCGCGAUUGAAUGAGCCGAUGUCGGAUUAGCUAGUUGGCGGGGUAAAGGCCCACCAAGGCGACGAUCCGUAGCUGGUCUGAGAGGAUGAUCAGCCACACUGGAACUGAGACACGGCCCAGACUCCUACGGGGGGCAGCAGUGGGGAAUAUUGGACAAUGGGCGCAAGCCUGACCCAGCCAUACCGCGUGGGUGAAGAAGGCCUUCGGGUUGUAAAGCCCUUUUGUUGGGAAAGAAAUCCAGCUGGCUAAUACCCGGUUGGGAUGACGGUACCCAAAGAAUAAGCACCGGCUAACUCUGUGCCAGCCGCCGCCGUAA
This 506-nucleotide ribosomal RNA is filed under the name uncultured bacterium. RNAcentral describes it as "partial 16S ribosomal RNA". It matches the Rfam family "Bacterial small subunit ribosomal RNA", at positions 29 to 523 of the family's 1533-position model. The record is from RNAcentral.